This 68-nucleotide transfer RNA is filed under the name Monodiamesa sp. 1 CZ-2021a. RNAcentral's name for it is "tRNA-Ser". Lineage: Eukaryota; Metazoa; Arthropoda; Insecta; Diptera; Chironomidae. The record is from RNAcentral.
AGCUAAUGAGCUUGAAUAAGCAUAUGUUUUGAAAACAUAAGAUAGAAUCUAUAUUAUUCUAUUGGCUU